AGAGUUUGAUCAUGGCUCAGAACGUACGCUGGCGGCACGCCUAACACAUGCAAGUCGAACGAAGUAGCAAUACUUAGUGGCAGACGGGUGAGUAACAUGUAGGUAUCUGCCCUUUGGCCUGGAAUAACACGAGGAAACUUGUGCUAAUACCGGAUAAGUCUUUACGGAGAAAGCUUUAUGCACCAUUGGAUGAGCCUGCACUUGAUUAGUUUGUUGGUGGGGUAAUGGCCUACCAAGACUGUGAUCAAUAGCUGAUUUGAGAGGAUGAUCAGCCACAUUGGGACUGAGACACGGCCCAAACUCCUACGGGAGGCAGCAGUGGGGAAUCUUGCACAAUGGAGGAAACUCUGAUGCAGCGAUGCCGCGUGAGUGAAGAAGGCCCUUGGGUUGUAAAGCUCUUUCGUCGGGGAAGAAAAUGACUGCACCCGAAUAAGAAGGUCCGGCUAACUUCGUGCCAGCAGCCGCGGUAAUACGAAGGGACCUAGCGUAGUUCGGAAUUACUGGGCUUAAAGAGUUCGUAGGUGGUUGAAAAAGUUGGUGGUGAAAUCCCAGAGCUUAACUCUGGAGCUGCCAUCAAAACUUUUCAGCUAGAGUUUGAUAGAGGAAAGCAGAAUUUCUAGUGUAGAGGUGAAAUUCGUAGAUAUUAGAAAGAAUACCGAUUGCGAAAGGCAGCUUUCUGGAUCAUUACUGACACUGAGGAACGAAAGCAUGGGUAGCGAAGAGGAUUAGAUACCCUCGUAGUCCAUGCCGUAAACGAUGUGUGUUAGACGUUGGAAAUUUAUCUUCAGUGUCGCAGCGAAAGCGAUAAACACACCGCCUGGGGAGUACGACCGCAAGGUUAAAACUCAAAUGAAUUGACGGGGACCCGCACAAGUAGUGGAGCAUGUGGUUUAAUUCGAAGAUACGCGCAGAACCUUACCAACACUUGACAUGUUCGUCGCGACUUUAAGAGAUUAAAGUUUUCGGUUCGGCCGGACGAAACACAGGUGCUGCAUGGCUGUCGUCAGCUCGUGUCGUGAGAUGUUGGGUUAAGUCCCGCAACGAGCGCAACCCUCACUUUUAGUUGCCAUCAUUAAGUUGGGCACUCUGAAAGAACUGCCAGUGAUAAGCUGGAGGAAGGUGGGGAUGACGUCAAGUCCUCAUGGCCCUUAUGUGUUGGGCUACACACGUGCUACAAUGGUACUUACAACAGGAAGCAAAACGGCGACGUUAAGCAAAUCCUUAAAAAGUACCUCAGUUCGGAUUGCACUCUGCAACUCGAGUGCAUGAAGCUGGAAUUACUAGUAAUCGUGGAUCAGCGUGCCACGGUGAAUGCGUUCCCGGGUCUUGUACACACCGCCCGUCACACCAUGGGAGUUGGUUCUACCUUAAGGCAAGGUUUCAAACCCUUGACCACGGUAUAGUCAGCGACUGGGGUGAAGUCGUAACAAAGGUAACC
RNAcentral lists this ribosomal RNA (1438 nucleotides) under uncultured bacterium. RNAcentral describes it as "bacterial SSU rRNA". It matches the Rfam family "Bacterial small subunit ribosomal RNA". The record is from RNAcentral.